RNAcentral lists this long non-coding RNA (203 nucleotides) under Hordeum vulgare. RNAcentral's name for it is "long non-coding RNA (HVUL_LNC010882)". The record is from RNAcentral. Lineage: Eukaryota; Viridiplantae; Streptophyta; Magnoliopsida; Poales; Poaceae.
GAGAGAGAGGGGAAGAGAGAUGUAAGUAGGAAUAUUUGUAUUUUAAGGUGUAAUCAUUUAUGUUCGUGCUACUAUUAUUAAGUUUUAAGUUCUAAGUUGUGAGAGCCCAAGUUAUAAGGGUGAUGUUCAUGCUACUAUAUAUAUCUAUGUUAUGUUCGGGUGUGCUAAUAUAUGUAUGUUUUAUUCAAGUAAUAGUGUGUUUU